This 433-nucleotide ribosomal RNA is filed under the name uncultured bacterium. Its description in RNAcentral is "partial 16S ribosomal RNA". It matches the Rfam family "Bacterial small subunit ribosomal RNA", at positions 29 to 507 of the family's 1533-position model. The record is from RNAcentral.
AACGAACGCUGGCGGCAGGCCUAACACAUGCAAGUCGAGCGAGGACUUCGGUUCUAGCGGCGGACGGGUGAGUAACGCGUGGGAAUGUGCCCUUCUCUACGGAAUAGCCCUGGGAAACUGGGAGUAAUACCGUAUACGCCCUUUUGGGGAAAGAUUUAUCGGAGCAGGAUCAGCCCGCGUUGGAUUAGGUAGUUGGUGGGGUAAUGGCCUACCAAGCCGACGAUCCAUAGCUGGUUUGAGAGGAUGAUCAGCCACACUGGGACUGAGACACGGCCCAGACUCCUACGGGAGGCAGCAGUGGGGAAUCUUAGACAAUGGGGGCAACCCUGAUCUAGCCAUGCCGCGUGAGUGAUGAAGGCCUUAGGGUUGUAAAGCUCUUUCAGCUGGGAAGAUAAUGACGGUACCAGCAGAAGAAGCCCCGGCUAACUCCGUG